RNAcentral lists this ribosomal RNA (396 nucleotides) under uncultured bacterium. RNAcentral describes it as "partial 16S ribosomal RNA". It matches the Rfam family "Bacterial small subunit ribosomal RNA", at positions 523 to 918 of the family's 1533-position model. The record is from RNAcentral.
AUACGUAGGUGGCAAGCGUUGUCCGGAAUUAUUGGGCGUAAAGCGCAUGUAGGCGGUUUGGUAAGUCGGUCGUGAAAAUGCGGGGCUUAACGCCGGAUGGCGAUCGCAACUGCUGAACUUGAGUGCAGGAGAGGAAAGGGGGACUCCCAGUGUAGGGGUGGAAUGCGUAGAUAUUGGGAAGAACACCGGUGGCGAAGGCGCCUUUCUGGACUGUGUCUGACGCUCAGAUGCGAAAGCCAGGGUAGCGAACGGGAUUAGAUACCCCGGUAGUCCUGGCCGUAAACGAUGGGUACUAGGUGUGGGAGGUAUCGACUCCUUCCGUGCCGGAGUUAACGCAAUAAGUACCCCGCCUGGGGAGUACGGCCGCAAGGCUUAAACUCAAAGGAAUUGACGGGG